CCUGGCCUCAAGUGAUCCUCCUGACUCAGCCUCCCAAAGUGCUGGGAUUAUAGGUGUGAACCACCAAACUUGGCCUAAAGGUAUGUUUUUCUUCCAAAUACAUUUUGGAGCCCACCAUUAUUAGGCACUUGUCUGUGCCAGGCACCACUUAAGUGCUUAACGUGUGUUAACUGAUUUAAUCCUCUCUGAGGUGGUUUAUCUUCACUCCCAUUUUGCAGGUGAGGAAACUGAGGCACAGAGAGAUUAAAUGAGCUGCCCAAGCUCACAUAGCUGAGGUGUGGCAGGGCUGCUGUCCGCGCCGGGCAGGCUGGCUCCCGAAGCCCGGCUCUUAGCCCACUCCUGAGCUGCCUCUCUGGACUGGUCUGCCGGGGUAGGAGAAUGUUCUCCUUUACUAACCUCUCUUUGCCUGUGAAAACCAAGGUGGUCUUACAGCAGUAGACAGAGGUGCCUCCCCUUGUAGCAAACCCAUCUGCUCCUCUGCCUGGGUCUCAGGAAAAAACCUCCCAGUGACUGAGAAAACUCCUCCCCCGCCCCUGCUGCCUCCUGUUUGGAAGAAGCUGGUCUGGAUCAGAUGAGUGGCAGGCGGGGGAGGGGCAGAGGCACCAGGCAGUCACGCCAGCACUCGCUCCCUCUCCCGAGGGUUCCCCUGUGAGGGAUCUUGGGAGGGGCCCACGCAGGAGGACAGCCGUUUCUGGAAGCAGCCGACUGGAGAGGCCUUGCCGGGCCUGGCGCCGUCUGCUGCAGUAGUCGGGGAUGCUGAUGUCCUGCUUCAACUCCGGGAUCUGUGGGCGGCAGAGCAGACAUGAGAGGUGGGGAUCCGGCCGGGGACACCACAGCCCAGAGGCCAACGAAGAAUCAGAGACACACACCUAUAUC
This is a non-coding RNA of Macaca mulatta (Rhesus monkey), 876 nucleotides long. Lineage: Eukaryota; Metazoa; Chordata; Mammalia; Primates; Cercopithecidae. The record is from RefSeq and is a predicted model, not a curated record.